UUUCUACUCCCUCAGCUAUUUGAGAGAAUGUUUUAAGGAGGGAAUGUUUGCUGCAGAGAGAUUAGAGUACAUCCCAGACCAGAGAGGUUAGAGUACAUCCCAGACCAGAGAGAUUAGAGUACAUCCCAGACCAGAGAGAUUAGAGUACAUCCCAGACCAGAGAGGUUAGAGUACAUCCCAGACCAGAGAGGUUAGAGUACAUCCCAGACCAGAGAGGUUAGAGUACAUCCCAGACCAGAGAGGUUAGAGUACAUCCCAUUCCCUAUAUAAUGCACUUCUUUAGACCAGAACUCCCAUUGCAGACGGAACAAAACCGAGAAGGCCCUAGCUAUCUGAUGUACCAGGUGCAGCCAACCAGAGCAGGCCCUAGCUAUCUGAUGUACCAGACUCAGCCAAACAGAGCAGGCCCUAGCUAUCUGAUGUACCAGACUCAGCCAAACCGAGCAGGCCCUAGCUAUCUGAUGUACCAGACACAGCCAAACAGAGCAGGCCCUAGCUAUCUGAUGUACCAG
Long non-coding RNA from Oncorhynchus tshawytscha (Chinook salmon), 512 nucleotides. The record is from Ensembl. NCBI's taxonomy places the organism in Eukaryota, Metazoa, Chordata, Actinopteri, Salmoniformes, Salmonidae.